CUCCUACGGGAGGCAGCAGUAAGGAAUAUUGGUCAAUGGACGCAAGUCUGAACCAGCCAUGCCGCGUGGAGGAUGAAGGCCCUCUGGGUUGUAAACUUCUUUUAUCUGGGAAGAAACCCGUUUUUUCUAAAGCGGUUGACGGUACCAGAUGAAUAAGCACCGGCUAACUCCGUGCCAGCAGCCGCGGUAAUACGGAGGGUGCAAGCGUUAUCCGGAUUCACUGGGUUUAAAGGGUGCGUAGGUGGGCAGGUAAGUCAGCGGUGAAAUCUCCGGGCUUAACCCGGAAACUGCCGUUGAUACUAUCUGUCUUGAAUGUAGUGGAGGUGAGCGGAAUAUGUCAUGUAGCGGUGAAAUGCUUAGAUAUGACAUAGAACACCCAUUGCGAAGGCAGCUCGCUACACUAUUAUUGACACUGAGGCACGAAAGCGUGGGGAUCAAACAGGAUUAGAUACCCUGGUAGUCCACGCCCUAAACGAUGGAUACUCGACAUCAGCGAUACACAGUUGGUGUCUGAGCGAAAGCAUUAAGUAUCCCACCUGGGAAGUACGACCGCAAGGUUGAAACUCAAAGGAAUUGACGG
RNAcentral lists this ribosomal RNA (580 nucleotides) under Pinus taeda (loblolly pine). RNAcentral describes it as "bacterial SSU rRNA". It matches the Rfam family "Bacterial small subunit ribosomal RNA", at positions 336 to 916 of the family's 1533-position model. RNAcentral also lists the same sequence under 1 other name. The record is from RNAcentral. Lineage: Eukaryota; Viridiplantae; Streptophyta; Pinopsida; Pinales; Pinaceae.